GCAGGGAUGGUGUAACUGGCAACACUCUGGUCUCCAAAACCAGCAUUCUGAGUUCAAAUCUCAGUCCCUGUGCCA
This 75-nucleotide transfer RNA is filed under the name Microcoleus sp. FACHB-DQ6. RNAcentral describes it as "tRNA-Trp". It matches the Rfam family "tRNA". From Rfam's summary of the family: Transfer RNA (tRNA) molecules are approximately 80 nucleotides in length. Their secondary structure includes four short double-helical elements and three loops (D, anti-codon, and T loops). RNAcentral also lists the same sequence under 1 other name. The record is from RNAcentral. Lineage: Bacteria; Bacillati; Cyanobacteriota; Cyanophyceae; Oscillatoriales; Microcoleaceae.